Molecule: transfer RNA, 85 nt
Filed under: Blochmannia endosymbiont of Polyrhachis (Hedomyrma) turneri
Lineage: Bacteria; Pseudomonadati; Pseudomonadota; Gammaproteobacteria; Enterobacterales; Enterobacteriaceae
Description: tRNA-Leu (CAA) (tRNA-Leu-CAA-1-1)
Rfam family: tRNA
About the family: Transfer RNA (tRNA) molecules are approximately 80 nucleotides in length. Their secondary structure includes four short double-helical elements and three loops (D, anti-codon, and T loops).
Source: Rfam by way of RNAcentral
GCCGAAGUGGUGAAAUUGGUAAACACAAUUGACUCAAAAUCAAUCGUCUCGUGUGGAUUUGCCGGUUCGAGUCCGGCCUUCGGCA